CGCUGGCGGCAGGCCUAACACAUGCAAGUCGAGCGGAUGAAGGGAGCUUGCUCCCUGAUUUAGCGGCGGACGGGUGAGUAAUGCCUAGGAAUCUGCCUGGUAGUGGGGGAUAACGUUCCGAAAGGAACGCUAAUACCGCAUACGUCCUACGGGAGAAAGCAGGGGACCUUCGGGCCUUGCGCUAUCAGAUGAGCCUAGGUCGGAUUAGCUAGUUGGUGAGGUAAUGGCUCACCAAGGCGACGAUCCGUAACUGGUCUGAGAGGAUGAUCAGUCACACUGGAACUGAGACACGGUCCAGACUCCUACGGGAGGCAGCAGUGGGGAAUAUUGGACAAUGGGCGAAAGCCUGAUCCAGCCAUGCCGCGUGUGAAGAAGGUCUUCGGAUUGUAAAGCACUUUAAGUUGGGAGGAAGGGCAGUAAGUUAAUACCUUGCUGUUUUGACGUUACCGACAGAAUAAGCACCGGCUAACUUCGUGCCAGCAGCCGCGGUAAUACGAAGGGUGCAAGCGUUAAUCGGAAUUACUGGGCGUAAAGCGCGCGUAGGUGGUUCGUUAAGUUGGAUGUGAAAGCCCCGGGCUCAACCUGGGAACUGCAUCCAAAACUGGCGAGCUAGAGUACGGUAGAGGGUGGUGGAAUUUCCUGUGUAGCGGUGAAAUGCGUAGAUAUAGGAAGGAACACCAGUGGCGAAGGCGACCACCUGGACUGAUACUGACACUGAGGUGCGAAAGCG
RNAcentral lists this ribosomal RNA (730 nucleotides) under uncultured bacterium. RNAcentral describes it as "bacterial SSU rRNA". It matches the Rfam family "Bacterial small subunit ribosomal RNA", at positions 34 to 761 of the family's 1533-position model. The record is from RNAcentral.